Molecule: RNA transcript, 3004 nt
Organism: Prunus avium (sweet cherry)
Lineage: Eukaryota; Viridiplantae; Streptophyta; Magnoliopsida; Rosales; Rosaceae
Gene name: FAD-dependent oxidoreductase family protein
Source: RefSeq, a predicted model, not a curated record
CCUCCAUUUAAUUUAACUUUUAGAAAUUAUUUCUUUGUUUUGUAGUAGCUCCUCCUAAGAAGCCAAAGCUUUGCUCUUUCGAAUUUACCCUUCUUCACUUGUAGCCCAGGUCCCCAAAUUCAGCAAACAUCCUGACUGUUCUAGUUAUUAUUCUUAGCACGGCAGAACACAACAAUACCAAACUGUCCCUCAAGAGGAUCGUUUGUAGCUUUGGCUCUUGGGCAUUCGACCGGCGCCGAGUGUUAGCUAGAGAGAAAGGUAAGCCCAAACCAAAGAUGCUGAAAAGCAAAAUCCAAAGCCUGGAAAGGAUUUCAUCAUCGUUGUCAGUUGUCUUCAAGAUUUUGAAGAGCCGUAAUAUUGCUACUACUACUGGUAGUAGCAGCAGCAAUGGAGUUCCAAAAGAGAAGGUAGAUUGCGUGGUGAUAGGGGCAGGUGUGGUGGGAUUAGCAGUAGCGAGAGAGCUUACUUUAAAGGGCAGAGAGGUGUUGGUGUUAGAAUCAGCUUCCACCUUCGGCACUGGCAUCAGUUCCCGCAACAGCGAGGUCAUCCAUGCCGGCAUCUACUAUCCUCCCAAUUCUCUCAAGGCAAUCUUAUGUGUAAGAGGAAGAGAAUUGCUUUACAAAUAUUGCUCUGAACACAAUAUCCCUCAUAACCAAAUUGGUAAACUUAUAGUAGCAACAGGAUCUUCAGAGAUUCCAAAGUUGCAUAAUCUAAUGAAUAAUGGGAUAAAAAAUGGGGUUGGUGGUUUGGUUAUGAUGGAAGGUUCAGACGCUACGAGGAUGGAACCUGAAUUGCGAUGUUUGAAAGCCUUACUAUCACCAGUUUCUGGGAUUGUUGAUACACAUUCCUUGAUGCUGUCUUUGCUGGGUGAAGCUGAAAAUCAUGGCACAACCUUCUCCUAUAAUACUACAGUUAUUGGUGGCCAUAUUGAAGAAAAUCGCCUAAGCCUUCAUAUUUCUGAAACCAAACACCUUGAAAAUUGGAAUGGAAAAUUUCCAUUGCAACCAGAGAUGGUACUCAUUCCUAAGCUUGUAGUGAACUCUGCUGGCUUGAGUGCCCCUGUCCUUGCAAAGCGAUUUGAUGGCCUCCGUAGUGCAGUUAUUCCUCCUGCCUAUUACGCUCGCGGGUGCUACUUCACGCUAUCAAAUACUACAAUAUGUCCUUUCAAACAUUUGAUUUAUCCUCUACCAGAGGAUGGUGGCAUUGGUGUGCAUGUUACUUUGGAUUUGAAUGGUCAGGUCAAGUUUGGCCCCAAUGUAGAAUGGAUUGAUGGUAUUGAUGACGUUUCAAGCUUCCUAAACAAGUUUGACUAUUCUGUAUGUACGAAUCGUGCAAAGCUAUUUUACCCAUUGAUAAGGAAGUACUACCCAAAUCUAAAAGAUGGGUCUCUCGAUCCAGGUUAUGCAGGGAUUCGACCAAAGCUUUCAGGUCCUCGACAGUCUCCAGUUGAUUUUGUGAUACAGGGGUUUGUUAGAACAUACAUAUGGGUAACAAUGUGUUGAACACACUAUGUGCUGCCCAAACAGAGCUGUGGACUGUAGUAACCUCAUUUUGGAAAGAAAGAAAAAGAACGGCGAGGACAUUCAUGGGAUAACUGGCCUUGUUAACCUUUUUGGUAUUGAGUCACCUGGUUUAACUUCAAGCAUGGGAGUUGCAGAACACAUAGCAACCAGAUUCUUCAGAUGUUAAGGAACCCUCUUUGUGCUAUAUAUUAUGAUUUGAAAAUUGCUGAUGAAUGUUCCAGAAUGGGCUAAUCUGUUACAACUUGAUCCACUGUUAAGGUAAUGGUCUGUCUGCUUCAAAUGAACUUCUAGUUAGAUAAAAAACAAAAUUUAGAAAGGAAGGCAAAAAGCUUCAAAGUGGAACUAUAACUAGUUUUACCUUUUUUUUAAUAACUUGUUGAAAAAUCAUGGAGCUGAAGAUAAUUUUGUGUCAGUCAAUGCCUUGCUACUGACCUCCUAGAUACCAUUUUCAGUCUUAGCGCAUGAGUCUUUCAUCCAGGUACCAAAGUGAAAAUUACCUCAGCUUGCUUAUAUGGUAUAAUAAGCCAAUACUACAACGACAGUUGUGCUUGUAAAGUACAUCUCGUGAAAAUGAUUAAAGUUUGAAUUUUCACAGAAAAAAUAUCCUCUUCCCUUCUCUCUUUUCCUCCCAUCUCUCCCUCUUCUUCCGAACACACUUCCAAGUCUCAUCCUGUCUCUUCUUGUCUCUCCUCCAAACACUUUGUCACACGUCUUUGUUUCAAAUUUAUGAAUCCCUCACCUUAGCUGGCUACUCUCAUUACCACAAGGUGCUUCUUCCUUCCUUCCCUUUGUUUAUUUGUUUUAAUUUUCAUUUUAAGCAAUUUUUGUAUAUGUGGUUGCUUUUUUGCCUCUGCGUGUUUGUUUUAUGUAUCUCAUAUUUGGUUUUAUUCAAUUUGCGGUUUCAUUUUCAUGUUCUAACUAACCUGUUUGGGUUUCAUCUUGUGUAUAUAUGACUACAUGUAUUAAGUUCUGGCUUUUCAUUGUCAUGUUUGUCUUUUUUAUAAUUUCUUCAUUUUUUUGGGGGUUGUAAGAAUAUGGCCGCAUGCAUUUCAUGAUUGGUGUUCUCAUUGUUUAACUGAUCGGAUUUCUUUCCUUUUGGUUUGCUUUUUUUUUCUUUUACAUGCAUGCAUGUAUCUCAUUGCAAAACCGAUUUGGUUUUGUAAAGUUGGUGGUUUGGGUUCUCAUUGUGGAACCGAUUGGUUUUCUUGCUUCCCAAUUUCUUCUAGUUCUGCAGGUUAGAAACCAGACAGCCCUUUUUUUUCCCCUUUUGGAUUCCCGUUGUAGGUGUUAACAACUCUAUUCUGAACAACGAGCCUCAUUCCUUUCCGGUGAUUUUCUGGCAGUGUCUGCAACAUCCAGUGUAAUAAUUGAAGAUUAUAAACUUAUUUCACCAAAUAUGGGUUCCUUCACAAGAACUCAGUAACUUUACCAUGAAAAUGUAAUCAUCUUGUAUAAAUGGCUGUUUAUUAUUUUCUUCACUA